GGGGAUGUAGCUCAGUUGGGAGAGCGCCGCCUUUGCACGGCGGAAGUCAGGAGUUCGAGUCUCCUCAUCUCCACCA
RNAcentral lists this transfer RNA (76 nucleotides) under Chloroflexota bacterium. Its description in RNAcentral is "Chloroflexi bacterium (wastewater metagenome) tRNA-Ala". It matches the Rfam family "tRNA". From Rfam's summary of the family: Transfer RNA (tRNA) molecules are approximately 80 nucleotides in length. Their secondary structure includes four short double-helical elements and three loops (D, anti-codon, and T loops). Lineage: Bacteria; Bacillati; Chloroflexota. RNAcentral also lists the same sequence under 3 other names. The record is from RNAcentral.